This 515-nucleotide long non-coding RNA is filed under the name Calidris pugnax (ruff). RNAcentral's name for it is "lncRNA (ENSCPUG00000008466.1)". The record is from RNAcentral. Lineage: Eukaryota; Metazoa; Chordata; Aves; Charadriiformes; Scolopacidae.
CUGGAGCUGCCACAUGAAUUUUGGGUUCAUAAGGAUUCCCUCUGCUGUGGGGACCUCACCAUAACUUCUUAACUCCUCAAGAGGGGCUGCUCCGUGGGAAUGGUUUAGCUACAACAUAACAUUUUACCUUACUCAGUGAGGAUGGCAGAAACCCAAAAUGACCACCUUCUGCUCUUCUCUUAGUUUCAAAAUUUGGUCAUUUCAGUGGCACAUUCAGAAAGGCAGGAUAUGGGAAUGAGUCUCUCUUUGCCCAUCUCCCUGUCGUCCUCCAAUUUGAUUUAUACUUCAGCAACGUUUAAGGUUAGGUCUUUUGAUAUACUGUUGUAUUAGAUAAAUUAGAUAAGAAAAGACUGUUUUUUUCACUUCAGCUUGUUGGGAAUGGAGACUUUGCUGCAAUUACUUGAUGACCUGACUGAGAAGCAUUCACAGGAGAGAAUGAGACAAAGGAAUCCACUUUCACAGAAAAGUGUCUGUGUGCGGUAGGAACGUUGCCAGAACCAGCGAGGUGGAAAUUG